UACGUAGGGGGCAAGCGUUGUCCGGAAUCAUUGGGCGUAAAGAGCGUGUAGGCGGCUCGGUAAGUCCGCUGUAAAAGUCCAGGGCUCAACCCUGGAAAGCCGGUGGAAACUGUCGGGCUAGAGUCCGGAAGAGGCGAGUGGAAUUCCUGGUGUAGCGGUGAAAUGCGCAGAUAUCAGGAGGAACACCAAUGGCGAAGGCAGCUCGCUGGGACGGUACUGACGCUGAGACGCGAAAGCGUGGGGAGCAAACAGG
This 253-nucleotide ribosomal RNA is filed under the name uncultured bacterium. Its description in RNAcentral is "partial 16S ribosomal RNA". It matches the Rfam family "Bacterial small subunit ribosomal RNA", at positions 524 to 776 of the family's 1533-position model. The record is from RNAcentral.